GGGGUCGACCGGUUUUGACAGGAUGAGUGGUUACGUGGGUAAGCAUGCAGGCUCAUGGGGUGAGAGCCUUGAAAGAUAGUCCUUUAUUACAAUUGGCGAAUCUAAUUACGCCAUGGCAGCAUAAUCUCGAAGUAUAGUAGAGAUCCUGGGUAACUUGUAAGACAAGUCCCCUGCCACAUCCUACAAAAACUCUGCUUUGCAGUUUUUGAUUUAGGGUGUCGAUGAGCAAAGCUAGCGCUAGCAGGGUUGUGAUGCAUGUGCGAAACUAAUUGCAACUAAGGUUUGGUCUGAGGUUGUUGCCGCCUUGGCCUGACACGAAAAUUUAAGAGUAACUAAGCAUGUAGAAGCUACGAUAGUUGCCUUCUCUGGACGAGAGUUCGAAUCUCUCCGACUCCACAA
This 399-nucleotide transfer-messenger RNA is filed under the name Fulvivirga lutea. RNAcentral describes it as "Standard tmRNA". It matches the Rfam family "transfer-messenger RNA". From Rfam's summary of the family: Bacterial tmRNA, also known as 10Sa RNA or SsrA, is named for its dual tRNA and mRNA-like properties. Its role is to liberate the mRNA from a stalled ribosome. To accomplish this part of the tmRNA is used as a reading frame that ends in a translation stop signal. Lineage: Bacteria; Pseudomonadati; Bacteroidota; Cytophagia; Cytophagales; Fulvivirgaceae. The record is from Rfam by way of RNAcentral.